RNAcentral lists this ribosomal RNA (252 nucleotides) under uncultured bacterium. Its description in RNAcentral is "partial 16S ribosomal RNA". It matches the Rfam family "Bacterial small subunit ribosomal RNA", at positions 524 to 776 of the family's 1533-position model. The record is from RNAcentral.
UACGAGGGGUCCAAGCGUUGUUCGGAAUCAUUGGGCGUAAAGCGGGUGUAGGUGGCUUUGUAAGUCAGGCGUGAAAGCCCUAGGCUCAACCUAGGAAGUGCUUUUGAUACUGCAAAGCUUGAAUGUGGAGAGGAUCGUGGAAUUCCAGGUGUAGUGGUGAAAUACGUAGAUAUCGGGAGGAACACCUGUGGCGAAGGCGGCCGACUGGGCCGACCCUGACGCUGAGGCGCGAAGGCGUGGGGAGCGAACGGG